Molecule: ribosomal RNA, 581 nt
Filed under: Melampsora aecidioides
Lineage: Eukaryota; Fungi; Basidiomycota; Pucciniomycetes; Pucciniales; Melampsoraceae
Description: eukaryotic LSU rRNA
Rfam family: Eukaryotic large subunit ribosomal RNA
Source: RNAcentral
GUUUGGGAAUGCAGCUCAAAGUGGGUGGUAAAUUCCAUCUAAGGCUAAAUAUAAGUGAGAGACCGAUAGCAAACAAGUACCGUGAGGGAAAGAUGAAAAGAACUUUGAAAAUAGAGUUAACAGUACGUGAAAUUGCUGAAAGGUAAACGUUUGAAGUUAGUUUUGUAUUCGUUGGAUCAGCUUCGCAAGGAGUGUAUUCUGAUGAUAAGCAAGUCAACAUCAGUCUAUGAGUGUUGGAGAAGGGUUUUGAGAAUGUAGCAAUUUAAUUGUGUUAUAGCUUGAGACUUGGAUACAAUGCUUUGGAUUGAGGAACGCGUAGUAAGCUUUGAGCGGAUUCGAAAGGAUCUCCUUACUAUGGAUGUUGGUGAAAUAACUUUAAGCGACCCGUCUUGAAACACGGACCAAGGAGUCUAACAUGCUUGCGAGUAUUAGGGUGUUGAAACCCGAAUGCGUAAUGAAAGUGAAUCUAAGAUGUGAUCCGCAAGGUGCAACAUCGGCCAGUCUGGAUCAUUUAUGUGAAGGUACUGAGCAAGAGCAAGUAUGUUAGGACCCGAAAGAUGGUGAACUAUGCCUGGAUAGGG